This 379-nucleotide long non-coding RNA is filed under the name Oryza sativa (Asian cultivated rice). RNAcentral's name for it is "long non-coding RNA (OSAT_LNC001218)". The record is from RNAcentral. Lineage: Eukaryota; Viridiplantae; Streptophyta; Magnoliopsida; Poales; Poaceae.
ACGACCCAGCCGCGGCGGCGCCACCGGGCACGGGCGGCAGCAGCAACCACCUCCUCGAGAACGGGUCGAGCGCCUGGCACUGGAGCCGCCGGGAGGCCGGGUCGAACGCAAACGCAAACAGGAACGGCAGCGACAGCGACACCGACGCCGCGGCCGCGGACGGGAACUUGGCCGGGGAGACGGUGAGGAAGCGGUUCCAGGUGGAGGAGACGGUGCGGAAGAGGCGGUGGUAGAGGAACGGCAGGUGGAGGAGGCACUUCUCGGCGACCUCCUCGGGGAGGCCGGGGAUGAGCUCCAUGACCUCCUCGCCGCCGCCGCCGCCGACCUCGUCGCCGGCGACUUCGAGCACCUGCUGCUUGCUCAUCGACGACGAGAAGCU